This 305-nucleotide ribosomal RNA is filed under the name uncultured bacterium. RNAcentral's name for it is "partial 16S ribosomal RNA". It matches the Rfam family "Bacterial small subunit ribosomal RNA", at positions 508 to 809 of the family's 1533-position model. The record is from RNAcentral.
ACAGCAGUAGCCGCGGUAAUACGGAGGGAGCUAGCGUUGUUCGGAAUUACUGGGCGUAAAGCGCGCGUAGGCGGUUACUCAAGUCAGAGGUGAAAGCCCGGGGCUCAACCCCGGAACUGCCUUUGAAACUAGGUGACUAGAAUCUUGGAGAGGUCAGUGGAAUUCCGAGUGUAGAGGUGAAAUUCGUAGAUAUUCGGAAGAACACCAGUGGCGAAGGCGACUGACUGGACAAGUAUUGACGCUGAGGUGCGAAAGCGUGGGGAGCAAACAGGAUUAGAUACCCCGGUAGUCCCUGUCUCUUAUAA